This 392-nucleotide ribosomal RNA is filed under the name uncultured Sphingobacteriales bacterium. RNAcentral describes it as "bacterial SSU rRNA". It matches the Rfam family "Bacterial small subunit ribosomal RNA", at positions 990 to 1382 of the family's 1533-position model. Lineage: Bacteria; Pseudomonadati; Bacteroidota; Sphingobacteriia; Sphingobacteriales. The record is from RNAcentral.
AAUGACUGUAGGUGAAAGCUUACAUCUCUUCGGAGCAUUUUACGAGGUGCUGCAUGGUUGUCGUCAGCUCGUGCCGUGAGGUGUCGGGUUAAGUCCCAUAAACGAGCGCAACCCCUACCUUUAGUUGCCAUCAGGUUAAGCUGGGGACUCUAAAGGAACUGCCUACGCAAGUAGUGAGGAAGGCGGGGAUGACGUCAAAUCAGCACGGCCCUUACGUCCAGGGCUACACACGUGCUACAAUGGCCGAUACAGAGGGCAGCUACCUGGUGACAGGAUGCAAAUCUCCAAAGUCGGUCUCAGUUCGGAUCGGAGUCUGCAACCCGACUCCGUGAAGUUGGAUUCGCUAGUAAUCGCGCAUCAGCCAUGGCGCGGUGAAUACGUUCCCGGGCCUU